CAUGGAAGAAUAGUAAUUUAUCUCAUGUUAAGUUUUUGAUGUUCUCAAGGGUGGAUUGACGACAAUCGUCUCGAUAGGCAGAACACUGAAUUGGCGAAGCAAAUGCAAAUGUUGAACUGUCGUUUCUUGAUCUCCGUCUCCACCGACGCUCAGCUGUUGAGCAAUCUCUUGUUUUAUUACAAUUUACAACACAGCGACAGCGCACAGUUGGAUUUUCUUUUUCAGCUAAGCUUCGUCCAUCAUCUUUGGAUUACAAGAUGAGACUGCAUCUGCAACUGUCAGGAAGAUGUUGUCUUGGCCUAUCAAAUCUGGAAACUUGGACGCGUGAAGCUUGUGGAUCACCACGGGCCCUGGAUUUGCCAGAAUCAGCUGUUUCCAUUCACAAACAUUGCUUCUGACGAUAGAUAUCUUGAAUCUGAUAGCUAGUUCUGUGUUUGUGUUUGGUUGCGAAGAAAACUUAUGAAGAUGGACAGAUUUUUUUGUGUGAACUGAUGGUUUUGGUUUGUAAUCAGAAUAUAUAUUGAGCACUGGAAUCGCCAAAAAUAAGACAUUCCGAGUAAGUAACAAGAAAAUGUUACCAAGCAA
Long non-coding RNA from Momordica charantia (bitter melon), 585 nucleotides. RefSeq lists it as uncharacterized. Lineage: Eukaryota; Viridiplantae; Streptophyta; Magnoliopsida; Cucurbitales; Cucurbitaceae. The record is from RefSeq and is a predicted model, not a curated record.